This 520-nucleotide ribosomal RNA is filed under the name uncultured microorganism. RNAcentral describes it as "bacterial SSU rRNA". It matches the Rfam family "Bacterial small subunit ribosomal RNA", at positions 9 to 527 of the family's 1533-position model. The record is from RNAcentral.
GAGUUUGAUCCUGGCUCAGGAUGAACGCUGGCGGCGUGCUUAACACAUGCAAGUCGAACGAAGCGCCUUAUUUGAUUUUCUUCGGAACUGAAGAUUUGGUGACUGAGUGGCGGACGGGUGAGUAACGCGUGGGUAACCUGCCCUGUACAGGGGGAUAACAAUCAGAAAUGACUGCUAAUACCGCAUAAGACCACAGCACCGCAUGGUGCAGGGGUAAAAACUCCGGUGGUACAGGAUGGACCCGCGUCUGAUUAGCUGGUUGGUGAGGUAACGGCUCACCAAGGCGACGAUCAGUAGCCGGCUUGAGAGAGUGAACGGCCACAUUGGGACUGAGACACGGCCCAAACUCCUACGGGAGGCAGCAGUGGGGAAUAUUGCACAAUGGGGGAAACCCUGAUGCAGCAACGCCGCGUGAGUGAAGAAGUAUUUCGGUAUGUAAAGCUCUAUCAGCAGGGAAGAAAGUGACGGUACCUGACUAAGAAGCCCCGGCUAACUACGUGCCAGCAGCCGCCGUAAUACC